GCCCACUUCUGGUCGGUGGGCGCCCUCAUGCCUCGGACCUGACUGCUCCUCCGCGGGUACUGAUUCACGCGGGCCAAAUACCACAGAUCUUCUCCUACCCCCCCGACGUCUCUAGCCAAGAAUGCCAGCGUCAAUCUCCUGUGUUUCCCUUAACUGCAAGGGGUUGAAUAACCCCGCUAAACGCCAUCAACUACUAAGAUGGUCAAACAGAACUAAAG
Pelobates cultripes (western spadefoot toad) is the source of this 218-nucleotide non-coding RNA. Lineage: Eukaryota; Metazoa; Chordata; Amphibia; Anura; Pelobatidae. The record is from the annotation of a GenBank genome assembly.